CUCCGGGAAACCGGAGCUAAUACCGGAUAGUUCCUUGAACCGCAUGGUUCAAGGAUGAAAGACGGUUUCGGCUGUCACUUACAGAUGGACCCGCGGCGCAUUAGCUAGUUGGUGAGGUAACGGCUCACCAAGGCGACGAUGCGUAGCCGACCUGAGAGGGUGAUCGGCCACACUGGGACUGAGACACGGCCCAGACUCCUACGGGAGGCAGCAGUAGGGAAUCUUCCGCAAUGGACGAAAGUCUGACGGAGCAACGCCGCGUGAGUGAUGAAGGUUUUCGGAUCGUAAAGCUCUGUUGUUAGGGAAGAACAAGUGCAAGAGUAACUGCUUGCACCUUGACGGUACCUAACCAGAAAGCCACGGCUAACUACGUGCCAGCAGCCGCGGUAAUACGUAGGUGGCAAGCGUUGUCCGGAAUUAUUGGGCGUAAAGGGCUCGCAGGCGGUUUCUUAAGUCUGAUGUGAAAGCCCCCGGCUCAACCGGGGAGGGUCAUUG
This 495-nucleotide ribosomal RNA is filed under the name Bacillus pumilus. Its description in RNAcentral is "bacterial SSU rRNA". It matches the Rfam family "Bacterial small subunit ribosomal RNA", at positions 147 to 628 of the family's 1533-position model. The record is from RNAcentral. Lineage: Bacteria; Bacillati; Bacillota; Bacilli; Caryophanales; Bacillaceae.